GAAAUGCGAUAAGUAGUGUGAAUUGCAGAAUUCAGUGAAUCAUCGAAUCUUUGAACGCACAUUGCGCCCUUUGGUAUUCCAAAGGGCAUGCCUGUUCGAGCGUCAUUUGUACCCUCAAGCUUUGCUUGGUGUUGGGCGUCUUGUCUCCAGUUCGCUGGAGACUCGCCUUAAAGUAAUUGGCAGCCGGCCUACUGGUUUCGGAGCGCAGCACAAGUCGCGCUCUCUUCCAGCCAAGGUCAGCAUCCACAAAGCCUUUUUUCCACUUUUGACCUCGGAUCAGGUAGGGAUACCCGCUGAACUUAAGC
This 305-nucleotide unclassified non-coding RNA is filed under the name plant metagenome. RNAcentral's name for it is "partial contains 5.8S ribosomal RNA, internal transcribed spacer 2, and large subunit ribosomal RNA". The stretch from base 1 to 105 matches the Rfam family "5.8S ribosomal RNA", at positions 50 to 154 of the family's 154-position model. The record is from RNAcentral.